This is an RNA transcript of Cucumis sativus (cucumber), 1898 nucleotides long. RefSeq lists it as uncharacterized. Lineage: Eukaryota; Viridiplantae; Streptophyta; Magnoliopsida; Cucurbitales; Cucurbitaceae. The transcript has 9 exons. The record is from RefSeq and is a predicted model, not a curated record.
UUCCCGGGGCCGGUCUAAGGACCCAUUCAUUGACGAAGUCUCAAUUUCAAUACUUUCUCGAACCGCUUUCGGUCGGACCGGUAAAUUAGCUAUAAAAAGCACGACGUCUCUUGCUCAGACUCGACACUACCAUUUACUACCAAAUCGGAGAAAGAAAAUGUUGAUGAAAGCCAUGGGCGUCACUGCGAAGUGCGAAGUUGCCGCCGAUUAUGGCUCAUGGCCGCUCAUCACCAUUCGAGCACCGUGACCCUCAGCCGUCAAUGCGUUGCUCCUCGGCUCCCUCAAAGCACACUAUCUCGAGAUAUAUCUAAAAUGUCGUUGUCUCCGGUGCACUAGAUGGUAGUGGGCCGGUGCUUACUAGGAACUACGGUGAAGAAGCAGUUAAGGUUUAGGAAAUGCCAUUUGCCAUUGUUAUUCUGGGAGGUGGAGGAGACGAUGAAAUUAGUUGGUAAUGUACAUUUUCUUUGUGUGUUAUAUCCCGAUGCAUUACGUAUCCAUUCCGUUUCCAUGAGAAUCUAAGUCGAACCCUAGGGGUUUCACGUUGUUCUGCUCGGAUUUAAUGGUUUCGUGUUCAACUUAAACUGAACAAGAAAAACCCAACCCAUUUGGUAAUGUACUUUUCUGAGUUGUUGGUUUGGUUGGCAGAGAUUUAGUUGAGAAAAUGCGAGACAUUUAAAAGAGUCUCUCUUUCCAUUCUUCAAGCACGCCAUGAUGUGAAAGAAGACCAAAAUUUUAUUUGGUCGUUCACUGUUCAGACCAGUUGAAUCAUUUAUCAAGGAGCACAAGAACACUCCACAUAAUCGUCCUAAUCAGUUAGGUGUAGCAGGUAAAGAAAACAAGUGGAAAUAAGGGAUGAAAACAGGUGCAUAUUUCUUAAAUAAGCUUAUGGAGGCCGUUCCAGAGCCAUGUUCAACUGGGUUCACACGAAGUUCCACUACAACCCUCUUAAAGAUGGAAAUACGUCAAGAAAGAAGGGCGAAUCUAUCACGAAGGAGGCAAAAACACAAGGAUUAUUAGCAGAACAAGUCGAUGAAUUUGUUGAUGAUUGGAGGAUCAACAAUGGCCGCCGUCUUACCAUUUUCUUUAUGGGAUUUGAGAAGUCAUCAAAAACCAAAACUUAUUUCAAUUUGAGGAAGGAGGGAAAGAGAGAUAAUGGAGAUAUUAUUAUUGUUGAUAAUGCUGAGGACGAGGAUGAUGAUGAGUUGAUCCCAUUAAUGUCGACCACAUUUCAGAACAACUUUGACGAUAGUAAUGGUGAAUUUUGUACGGAAUUCGAGAAGUCUCAAGUAGUCUUGGCUAUUCAACGACAUGUCGCUCAAAGAAUCCGCCAGAGAGUCACGCUGGCGGACCUGCUUUGUUGGUUUUAAAACAAAUGAUCCGUAAAAUCUCACGCACUCUUCUUGAAGAAAACAAAGAUAAAUACUUUGUAAGAUAUAUUGCCAAGAGGGAGAGAAUGUAACAACAAGUGAAAACUACAUAAGUUGCAGAAGAAAAAAUAAGUUGAGGUAUACAAGAGAUUGCAUCUAAGAUCCAAUGAAAAAAAACAACUAAACUAACAGCGCUUUUUAAACUUUUCAGCUAAUAGGGAAGAUGAUGAAGAGAAAGAUUCAUGCAAAGGUGCACAACGAGCAGCUGCUUGAUCCAACCUUUCUUAGUAUUCUUCCAGCUGCUUGUGCUUGAGAUUCAUCAUUUGGCAGCAAUGGAAUUUGCUAAAACUGUGGUUGAAUUUUAUAUUCUAAUUUUCAAGAAUGUAGAUGUGAUAUAUGUGAAAGCCAUGUCUUCUCUUUUCUUAAGCUUUGAUGUAACAUUAUGGGUUUUCUUUUUCUUGAUUUGAUGAAAGUUUGGUGGUACCCAAAUUGAAUGGAUUACCUUAUUCAAAUUGGACUUCAAAUACGUAA